UACGUAGGGAGCAAGCGUUGUCCGGAAUCAUUGGGCGUAAAGCGCGCGUAGGUGGCCCCAUAAGUCCGCUGUGAAAGUCAAAGGCUCAACCUUUGAAAGCCGGUGGAUACUGUGGGACUAGAGUACGGAAGAGGCGAGUGGAAUUCCUGGUGUAGCGGUGGAAUGCGCAGAUAUCAGGAGGAACACCAAUAGCGAAGGCAGCUCGCUGGGACGUUACUGACACUGAGGCGCGAAAAGCGUGGGGGAGCGAAACAGG
This 256-nucleotide ribosomal RNA is filed under the name uncultured bacterium. RNAcentral's name for it is "partial 16S ribosomal RNA". It matches the Rfam family "Bacterial small subunit ribosomal RNA", at positions 524 to 776 of the family's 1533-position model. The record is from RNAcentral.